RNAcentral lists this transfer RNA (85 nucleotides) under Acinetobacter sp. C_3_1. Its description in RNAcentral is "tRNA-Leu". It matches the Rfam family "tRNA". Rfam says of the family: Transfer RNA (tRNA) molecules are approximately 80 nucleotides in length. Their secondary structure includes four short double-helical elements and three loops (D, anti-codon, and T loops). Lineage: Bacteria; Pseudomonadati; Pseudomonadota; Gammaproteobacteria; Moraxellales; Moraxellaceae. The record is from RNAcentral.
GGGGAUAUGGCGGAAUUGGUAGACGCACUGGAUUUAGGUUCCCGCGCCGCAAGGUGUGAGAGUUCGAGUCUCUCCGUCCCCACCA